AGCGGACUAGAAGAUUAAAACUUCUUUUAAUCUAUAUUAUGCAUGUAUAAAAUAUAAACCACAAGGAUCUACUUCAUAUACUGAAAUUGAACAUAUACUAGAAUUUAACAUAUGAUCGAAUCACAUACCUAUUUUGUAAUUCUUUUGUUUAUUUUUGGAUCUAAAAGAGAAGAGGCUUUCUCUUAGCCACGUAAGUAUCCGAUCUCUAUAGAUAUCCACUCA
RNAcentral lists this long non-coding RNA (222 nucleotides) under Elaeis guineensis (African oil palm). RNAcentral describes it as "long non-coding RNA (EGUI_LNC018661)". The record is from RNAcentral. Lineage: Eukaryota; Viridiplantae; Streptophyta; Magnoliopsida; Arecales; Arecaceae.